This is a long non-coding RNA of Salmo salar (Atlantic salmon), 504 nucleotides long. RefSeq lists it as uncharacterized. NCBI's taxonomy places the organism in Eukaryota, Metazoa, Chordata, Actinopteri, Salmoniformes, Salmonidae. The record is from RefSeq and is a predicted model, not a curated record.
UAACCCUGAUUCCUAUGUGUCCACUAUUGGGCUACUUCUGGAUAAGUGUAAUUUACUAGUGAGUUACCAGGAUCACACAUUGGUAUAAGAGAGAUCAUGUGCACAUCAUAAAGGGUUUCUCCUCUCUGGUCUGUCUUCUUCCUUUCAGGGCUAUGAUCAUCAAGCUGUUCCUGGGCAGUGUUGUGGGAAGUGUGUACAGACAAGCUGUGUGGUUAUGCUGCCAGAUAAUACCACACACACUAUUCAGCCUGGUUCUGUCUGGAUACCAUCUGGAGACAAGUGUCUCAAGUUUGAGUGUGUAAAGAUUAUGGACCAAUUCAUCCCAAUCGAGGCUAAGACUGUGUGCCCUGACUUCUACCCAGAAGACUGCAUACCCGGAACUGAAGUUAUUGCUCCAGAUGGUUGCUGCCAUGUCUGUGAGUGUCUUUUUAACACCAUCCUUUUUGAUAGACAUUUGUAAAUCAUUCUUGCCCUUUAUUAUGCAUUGGAAAAAGUGUUUUAGCU